This 468-nucleotide long non-coding RNA is filed under the name Glycine max (soybean). RNAcentral describes it as "long non-coding RNA (GMAX_LNC003269)". The record is from RNAcentral. Lineage: Eukaryota; Viridiplantae; Streptophyta; Magnoliopsida; Fabales; Fabaceae.
GUCCGUGUACAUUGAUACAUUUAUUAGCAAUCACUGUUGCAAGAUGCUAAUGACAUGGAAAUUUUCAACAAAAGAUAUAUGUUAACUUUUUUAACUUAGUCUCACGCUGGGCCUUGUCUUGAUCAUCCGAUUAAGUAAACCUCCGUAAUAGUAAGAUAGUAAGAAGUACCUGCAACACGAGUAAAUUGAACAGCUAGAAUGUAGAUUUGAUGGAGUUAUUUACACUGGUAAAUACUCUAAUUUGCAUUUGCAAUUAAUUUACCUGAAUUUGUACCAUUGUGUAAUGACUGACAAAGCUGAAGGAGGUUAUCAGAAACAUUUUUUUCAUAUGUCUCCACUAUUUAACUUGGCAAACAACCCAUCAAAAUCACAAGAUCUUCAUGUUGUUCGAAACAUAGAGAUCCUGUGAUUUCCUCUGACAGACAAAAAGUUAACUAAUGGGAUUUUAGUAACAAAAAUUAAGUACUA